AAUCAUUUCCCCUAUUUCACCCAACUUCUUUCAAAAGUUGAAAGAAAGGAAGAAAGAAGAGAGAAGAAGGAGAGACAGAGAGGACCUGCCCAUUAUUUGCAGGCAGCUUCAUCUGCUAGUCAUCCUCCCUUCCUGAGACCCUGGGAGGGCAGCAUCAGGCGUCCCUGGGCCCUCUGGCCGGCCCUGGAGGUGAAGGUGGUUUUCCUCCCAAACGGCUCUUGGAUCAUUGACCGGCCCCAUCACCUGACUGGAACCGUGGAAAAGCACAGUCGGCCUUUGGUCCAAACGCCAAAGUCAAAUCGGAACGCUCAGCCCCACCACAGCCUGCGGUCCCACCUGCAGCCCUCCCCUCCCGGCAAAGCAAAAAGUGAAACUAACCCGUGGCCGCAGCGCGCAGGGUCGGGGGCGCGCGCGGGGUCCCCGCUGCCAGCUCUCCGAAACCCGGCGGGGGCGCGUGGCGUCCACCCGGAGCAGAGGGGCCCAAGGAAGUCCGCGGGGCGAGGGGCAGGGGUGUCGUUCCCUAGCCCAGCCCGGCAGCCCGCCCCUCCUAGGGCGCCCCGGCCCCAGCCGCGCGCCCGGCUGCAGCGCCCCAGGCCGGCCGGCGAGGACGGGGCCAGGCUUGGGCCUGGCCGGCCGAGGCCCCGGAGGCUGGGAGGGAACCCACGGCCCGCCGUCCCCAGUCCCGGUCCUCCAGUCCUCCCGCAGGCCCCGCGCCCGGCGGAGCGCAGCCGGCCUGCUGCGCCGCGGGGCCCGGGUGGGGGCGAUCUGGGGAGGCAAGGGGGGCCGAUCUCGGGCGGCGGGGAGGGGGCCGACCUCGGGGACGCGCCGCUCACCUGCAGCCGCCGCCACCUGCUCCUCGCGCGCGUGGCCCCGGCGUCGCCUCCGCUCCGGGCCGCUCGGUCGCUGCGCUCCGGCCCUGGGCGCGCCCGGCCCUGCGUCGGGCCUCAGCGAGUGCGGCGCCCGCCGCCCCCGGCCCCCAUCCCGCCCCGCCCGGCCCGCCGCCCUCCGCCCUCGGCCGCGCCGCCCCGCCACUUCCUGUGCGCGGCGAUCCCACAGUUCCGCCGGCGCGCGGGGCGGCGGGGACACGCGGGGAGGGGACAUGGGACCUGCGGAGGGGACACAGGGCGGAGACCGGCCAGGGGGCCGCGGGAGUACUCGGGAGAGCGGGGAGGGAAUACGAGGGGGGAAGGGGAGCGGGGACACGCGGGGGGACACGGGGGUAAGCCAAGGGGACAGGGAGGUACCAGGGGACAGCGGGCGGAACACGGGACGCAGAGGGAGACAGGACGACAUGGGGUUGGCGGCCUGGCCGGACGCCGGCUGUGA
This 1326-nucleotide long non-coding RNA is filed under the name Bos grunniens (domestic yak). Its description in RNAcentral is "lncRNA (ENSBGRG00000021797.1)". Lineage: Eukaryota; Metazoa; Chordata; Mammalia; Artiodactyla; Bovidae. The record is from RNAcentral.